AUUUCGAUUGCAGUAGGGUUGUUUAGCAGUGAACAAACAACCCAUUUAAUGGACGGGCCUGAUCGCUGCCCAUAUUGACAUGUCCAUUCUAUUUGUUGUGUUUUACUCUUAAGCAGCCCUUCUCCGAUCCACCU
Molecule: microRNA precursor, 134 nt
Filed under: Picea abies (Norway spruce)
Lineage: Eukaryota; Viridiplantae; Streptophyta; Pinopsida; Pinales; Pinaceae
Description: miR11476a stem-loop (pab-MIR11476a)
Source: miRBase by way of RNAcentral